This 497-nucleotide ribosomal RNA is filed under the name uncultured bacterium. RNAcentral's name for it is "partial 16S ribosomal RNA". It matches the Rfam family "Bacterial small subunit ribosomal RNA", at positions 28 to 507 of the family's 1533-position model. The record is from RNAcentral.
GAUGAACGCUGGCGGCGUGCCUAAUACAUGCAAGUCGAGCGAACGGACGAGAAGCUUGCUUCUCUGAUGUUAGCGGCGGACGGGUGAGUAACACGUGGAUAACCUACCUAUAAGACUGGGAUAACUUCGGGAAACCGGAGCUAAUAUCGGAUAAUAUUUUGAACCGCAUGAUUCAAAAGUGAAAGACGGUCUUGCUGUCACUUAUAGAUGGAUCCGCGCUGCAUUAGCUAGUUGGUAAGGUAACGGCUUACCAAGGCAACGAUGCAUAGCCGACCUGAGAGGGUGAUCGGCCACACUGGAACUGAGACACGGUCCAGACUCCUACGGGAGGCAGCAGUAGGGAAUCUUCCGCAAUGGGCGAAAGCCUGACGGAGCAACGCCGCGUGAGUGAUGAAGGUCUUCGGAUCGUAAAACUCUGUUAUUAGGGAAGAACAUAUGUGUAAGUAACUGUGCACAUCUUGACGGUACCUAAUCAGAAAGCCACGGCUAACUACGUG